GGGCUGCAGUCGAGGAUAUUUAGCAAUGGGCGAAAGCCUGACUAUGUGACGCCGCGUGAGGGAUGAAGGCCUUCGGGUCGUAAACCUCUUUCAAUAGGGAAGAAACUUUCAGCUAACUACUGAAACUGACGGUACCUAGAGAAGAAGCCACGGCCAACUCUGUGCCAGCAGCCGCGGUAAUACAGAGGUGGCGAGCGUUACUCGGAUUUAUUGGGUGUAAAGGGCAGGUAGGCGGCUAUGCAAGUUGAUGGUGAAAUCCUGUGGCUUAACCACAGAACUGCCUUCAAAACUGCAUAGCUUGAGGCUAGAAGAGGAGAGCGGAAUUCCCGGUGUAAGGGUGAAAUCUGUAGAUAUCGGGAGGAACACCAGUGGCGAAGGCGGCUCUCUGGUCUAGCCCUGACGCUGAUCUGCGAAAGCUAGGGGAGCAAACAGGAUUAGAUACCCGUGUAGUC
RNAcentral lists this ribosomal RNA (452 nucleotides) under uncultured microorganism. RNAcentral's name for it is "bacterial SSU rRNA". It matches the Rfam family "Bacterial small subunit ribosomal RNA", at positions 346 to 795 of the family's 1533-position model. The record is from RNAcentral.